Molecule: ribosomal RNA, 2047 nt
Filed under: wastewater metagenome
Description: bacterial LSU rRNA
Rfam family: Bacterial large subunit ribosomal RNA
Source: RNAcentral
UUAAGUGAAUAAGGGCGCACGGUGGAUGCCUAGGCACUAGGAGCCGAUGAAGGACGGGACUAACACCGAUAUGCUCCGGGGAGCUGUAAGUAAGCUUUGAUCCGGAGAUUUCCGAAUGGGGCAACCCAAUAUCUUUGAUAGGAUAUUACGUUACACUGAAUACAUAGGUGUAUCGAGGAACACGCAGGGAACUGAAACAUCUCAUUACCUGCAGGAAGAGAAAGAAAAUUCGAUUCCCUUAGUAGCGGCGAGCGAAACGGGAAAAGCCCAAACCAAAGAGCUUGCUCUUUGGGGUUGUAGGACUGGGACAUGAGACUGCAAUGGAUAGCAGAAGCCAACUGGAAAGUUGCGCAACAUAGGGUAAUAGCCCCGUAUGCGAAAUCCAAAUCAGCUCUACCAGUAUCCUGAGUACGGCGGAACACGAGAAAUUCCGUCGGAAUCCGGGAGGACCAUCUCCCAAGGCUAAAUACUCCCUAGUGACCGAUAGUGAACCAGUACCGUGAGGGAAAGGUGAAAAGCACCCCGGAAGGGGAGUGAAACAGUACCUGAAACCGUGUGCCUACAAGUAGUCAAAGCCCGUUAAUGGGUGAUGGCGUACCUUUUGUAGAAUGGACCGGCGAGUUACGAUUUCAUGCGAGGUUAAGUUGAAAAGACGGAGCCGCAGCGAAAGCGAGUCUGAAUAGGGCGAAUAAGUAUGAGGUCGUAGACCCGAAACCAAGUGACCUACCCAUGUCCAGGUUGAAGGUGCGGUAAUACGCACUGGAGGACCGAACCCACGCACGUUGAAAAGUGCGGGGAUGAGGUGUGGGUAGCGGAGAAAUUCCAAUCGAACUUGGAGAUAGCUGGUUCUCUCCGAAAUAGCUUUAGGGCUAGCCUCGGAUAUGCGAAUCAUGGAGGUAGAGCACUGUUUGGACUAGGGGCCCUUCUCGGGUUACCGAAUUCAGAUAAACUCCGAAUGCCAUUGAUUUAGAUCCGGGAGUCAGACUGCGAGUGAUAAGAUCCGUAGUCAAAAGGGAAACAGCCCAGACCACCAGCUAAGGUCCCAAAGUAUCUGUUAAGUGGAAAAGGAUGUGGGGUUGCACAGACAACUAGGAUGUUGGCUCAGAAGCAGCCAUCAUUUAAAGAGUGCGUAAUAGCUCACUAGUCGAGUGACCCUGCGCCGAAAAUUUACCGGGGCUAAACAGAUCACCGAAGCUGUGGAUGGAACCCAAUGGGUUCCGUGGUAGGAGAGCGUUCUAAGGGCAUCGAAGCCAGAUCGUGAGGACUGGUGGAGCGCUUAGAAGUGAGAAUGCCGGUAUGAGUAGCGCAAGACGGGUGAGAAUCCCGUCCACCGAAUAACUAAGGUUUCCUGGGGAAGGCUCGUCCUCCCAGGGUUAGUCGGGACCUAAGCUGAGGCCGAUAGGCGUAGGCGAUGGACAACAGGUUGAUAUUCCUGUACCAGUUGCUUUUGUUUGAGCGAUGGAGGGACGCAGGAGGCUAAGGAAUGCACACGAUCGGAAAUGUGUGUCCAAGCAGCAAGUCUGAGAACGAGUGAAAUGCUUUUUCUCUCAAGGACAAGCUGUGAUGGGGAGCGAAAUUUAGUAGCGAAGUUCCUGAUGUCACACUGCCAAGAAAAGCUUCUAGUGAGAAAGUAACUGCCCGUACCGCAAACCGACACAGGUAGUUGAGGAGAGAAUCCUAAGGUGUGCGAGAGAACUCUCGUUAAGGAACUCGGCAAAAUGACCCCGUAACUUCGGGAGAAGGGGUGCUGACCGCAAGGUCAGCCGCAGUGAAUAGGCCCAAGCGACUGUUUAUCAAAAACACAGGUCUCUGCAAAAUCGAAAGAUGACGUAUAGGGGCUGACGCCUGCCCGGUGCUGGAAGGUUAAGAGGAGAGGUUAGCGCAAGCGAAGCUUUGAAUUUAAGCCCCAGUAAACGGCGGCCGUAACUAUAACGGUCCUAAGGUAGCGAAAUUCCUUGUCGGGUAAGUUCCGACCCGCACGAAAGGCGUAACGAUUUGGGCACUGUCUCAACGAGAGACUCGGUGAAAUUUUAGUACCUGUGAAGAU